RNAcentral lists this ribosomal RNA (119 nucleotides) under Pteropus alecto (black flying fox). Lineage: Eukaryota; Metazoa; Chordata; Mammalia; Chiroptera; Pteropodidae. The record is from RNAcentral.
GUCUACGGCCAUGCCACCCUGAACAAGCCCGAUCCCAUCUGAUCUUAGAAGCUAAGCAGGGUCAGGCCUGGUUAGUACUUGAAUGGGAGACCACCUAGGAAGACCAGGUGCUGUAGGCG